GGAAUAUUGCACAAUGGGCGAAAGCCUGAUGCAGUGACGCCGCGUGAGUGAAGAAGUAUUUCGGUAUGUAAAGCCCUAUCAGCAGGGAAGAAAAUGAUGGUACCUGACUAGGAAGCCCCGGCUAACUACGUGCCAGCAGCCGCGGUAAUACGUAGGGGGCAAGCGUUAUCCGGAUUUACUGGGUGUAAAGGGAGCGUAGACAGCGAAGCAAGUCUGAAGUGAAAACCCAGGGCUCAACCCUGGGACUGCGUUGGAAACAGUUUUGCUAGAGUGUCGGAGAGGUAAGUGGAAUUCCUAGUGUAGCGGUGAAAUGCGUAGAUAUUAGGAGGAACACCAGUGGCGAAGGCGGCUUACUGGACGAUAACUGACGUUGAGGCUCGAAAGCGUGGGGAGCAAACA
Molecule: ribosomal RNA, 399 nt
Filed under: uncultured bacterium
Lineage: Bacteria
Description: bacterial SSU rRNA
Rfam family: Bacterial small subunit ribosomal RNA
Source: RNAcentral